Molecule: ribosomal RNA, 504 nt
Filed under: uncultured bacterium
Lineage: Bacteria
Description: partial 16S ribosomal RNA
Rfam family: Bacterial small subunit ribosomal RNA
Source: RNAcentral
GACGAACGCUGGCGGCGUGCCUAAUACAUGCAAGUAGAACGCACAGUUUAUACCGUAGCUUGCUCCACCAUAGACUGUGAGUUGCGAACGGUUGAGUAACGCGUAGGUAACCUGCCUGGUAGCGGGGAUAACUAUUUGAAACGAUAGCUAAUACCUCAUAAUAUUAAUUUUUUCCUGAUAAUUAAUUGCAAGGUGCAAUUGCACCACUACCAACUGGGCCUGCGUUGUAUUAGCUAGGAGGUGAGGGAACGGCUCACCUAGGCGACGAUACGUAGCCGACCUGAGAGGGUGAUCGGCCACACUGGGACUGAGACACGGCCCAGACUCCUACGGGAGGCAGCAGUAGGGAAUCUUCGGCAAUGGACGAAAGUCUGACCGAGCAACGCCGCGUGAGUGAAGAAGGUUUUCGGAUCGUAAAGCUCUGUUGUAAGAGAAGAACGGGUGUGAGAGUGGAAAGUUCACACUGUGACGGUAUCUUACCAGAAAGGGACGGCUAACUACGUG